This is a long non-coding RNA of Oncorhynchus keta (chum salmon), 1740 nucleotides long. RefSeq lists it as uncharacterized. The transcript has 9 exons. The record is from RefSeq and is a predicted model, not a curated record. Lineage: Eukaryota; Metazoa; Chordata; Actinopteri; Salmoniformes; Salmonidae.
CUCUACUGUAAACGGUUAUGUGUGAGGUGAAGUCUACUGUAAACUGUUAUGUGUGAGGUGAAGUCUACUGUAAACUGUUAUGUGUGGGGUGAAGUGUACUGUAAACUGUUAUGUGUGGGGUGAAAUCCACUGUAAACUGUUAUGUGUGGGGUGAAGUCUACUGUAAAAUGUUAUGUGUGGGGUGAAGUCUACUGUAAACUGUUAUGUGUGGGGUGAAGUCUACUGUAAACUGUUAUGUGUGGGGUGAAGUCUACUGUAAACUGUUAUGUGUGGGGUGAAGUCUACUGUAAACUGUUAUGUGUGGGGUGAAGUCUACUGUAAACUGUUAUGUGUGGGGUGAAGUCUACUGUAAACUGUUAUGUGUGGGGUGAAGUCUACUGUAAACUGUUAUGUGUGAGGUGAAGUCUACUGUAAACUGUUAUGUGUGAGGUGAAGUCUACUGUAAACUGUUAUGUGUGGGGUGAAGUCUACUGUAAACUGUUAUGUGUGAGGUGAAGUCUACUGUAAACUGUUAUGUGUGAGGUGAAGUCUACUGUAAACUGUUAUGUGUGGGGUGAAGUCUACUGUAAACUGUUAUGUGUGAGGUGAAGUCUACUGUAAACUGUUAUGUGUGAGGUGAAGUCUACUGUAAACUGUUAUGUGUGGGGUGAAGUCUACUGUAAACUGUUAUGUGUGAGGUGAAGUCUACUGUAAACUGUUAUGUGUGGGGUGAAGUCUACUGUAAACUGUUAUGUGUGAGGUGAAGUCUACUGUAAACUGUUAUGUGUGAGGUGAAGUCUACUGUAAACUGUUAUGUGUGAGGUGAAGUCUACUGUAAACUGUUAUGUGUGAGGUGAAGUCUACUGUAAACUGUUAUGUGUGAGGUGAAGUCUACUGUAAACUGUUAUGUGUGAGGUGAAGUCUACUGUAAACUGUUAUGUGUGAGGUGAAGUCUACUGUAAACUGUUAUGUGUGGGGUGAAGUCUACUGUAAACUGUUAUGUGUGAGGUGAAGUCUACUGUAAACUGUUAUGUGUGGGGUGAAGUCUACUGUAAACUGUUAUGUGUGGGGUGAAGUCUACUGUAAACUGUUAUGUGUGAGGUGAAGUCUACUGUAAACUGUUAUGUGUGAGGUGAAGUCUACUGUAAACUGUUAUGUGUGAGGUGAAGUCUACUGUAAACUGUUAUGUGUGGGGUGAAGUCUACUGUAAACUGUUAUGUGUGGGGUGAAGUCUACUGUAAACUGUUAUGUGUGGGGUGAAGUCUACUGUAAACUGUUAUGUGUGAGGUGAAGUCUACUGUAAACUGUUAUGUGUGGGGUGAAGUCUACUGUAAACUGUUAUGUGUGGGGUGAAGUCUACUGUAAACUGUUAUGUGUGGGGUGAAGUCUACUGUAAACUGUUAUGUGUGGGGUGAAGUCUACUGUAAACUGUUAUGUGUGGGGUGAAGUCUACUGUUAUGUGUGAGGUGAAGUCUACUGUAAACUGUUAUGUGUGAGGUGAAGUCUACUGUAAACUGUUAUGUGUGAGGUGAAGUCUACUGUAAACUGUUAUGUGUGGGGUGAAAUCCACUGUAAACUGUUAUGUGUGGGGUGAAAUCCACUGUAAACUGUUAUGUGUGGGGUGAAGUCUACUGUAAACUGUUAUGUGUGAGGUGAAGUCUACUGUAAACUGUUAGGUGUGGGGUGAAGUCUACUGUAAACUGGGGCAGAUGGAGACGUACUUACCUUCUCUAUUACAAGCCCUGUCUUGGCACAUCAUGU